Molecule: ribosomal RNA, 813 nt
Filed under: marine metagenome
Description: bacterial SSU rRNA
Rfam family: Bacterial small subunit ribosomal RNA
Source: RNAcentral
AGAGUUUGAUCCUGGCUCAGGACAAACGCUGGCGGCGUGCUUAACACAUGCAAGUCUAAGGAGAACGUUAUCUUCGGAUAACAAGUAAACUGGCGGACGGGUGAGUAACGCGUAGGCAACCUACCUUUAAGAUUGGGAUAACGUUUGGAAACGAACGCUAAUACCAAAUAAUAUUCUUUGAAUCAAAGGGGGCUUCGGCUCUUGCUUAAAGAUGGGCCUGCGUCUGAUUAGCUAGAUGGUAAGGUAAUGGCUUACCAUGGCAACGAUCAGUAGCUGGUUCGAGAGGAUGAUCAGCCACACUGGGACUGAGAUACGGCCCAGACUCCUACGGGAGGCAGCAGUGGGGAAUUUUGCGCAAUGAGGGAAACCUUGACGCAGCAACGCCGCGUGAUCGAAGAAGCUUCUAGGAGUGUAAAGAUCUGUCAUAGGGGAAGAAAUGCUUAUAUUCUAACACAAUAUUUGCUUGACGGUACCCUAUAAGAAAGCUCCGGCUAACUAGGUGCCAGCAGCCGCGGUAAUACCUGGGGGGCAAGCGUUGUCCGGAUUCAUUGGGCGUAAAGGGCUCGUAGGUGGACUGACCAGUCAAAAUUGAAAUACAAUGGCUCAACCAUUGGCACGGUUUUGAUACUAUCAGUCUUGAGUGAAAUAGAGGUAAGCGGAAUUCCUAGUGUAGCGGUGAAAUGCGUAGAUAUUAGGAGGAACACCAAAGGCGAAGGCAGCUUACUGGAUUUAUACUGACACUGAGGAGCGAAAGCGUGGGUAGCGAACAGGAUUAGAGACCCUGGUAGUCCACGCCGUAAACGAUGAGCACUU